Molecule: long non-coding RNA, 282 nt
Organism: Arabidopsis thaliana (thale cress)
Lineage: Eukaryota; Viridiplantae; Streptophyta; Magnoliopsida; Brassicales; Brassicaceae
Product: other RNA
Exons: 2
Source: RefSeq
GUCUGUGAAGAUGAUCCUUCUGGAAGGUCUCGAAGGCUUCCUCUGGACUCCCCUUCGAUUCAUGUUUCUGUAUUGACGCGAUGUCUAGAUCUUCCGUUUGUGACAUAGUGAAUGAAUUAAGAAGGGGUUUAGGAUUGAUUGGAUUGCACUCAUGGCUCCGCUGGGUCGCGCGUUAAGUGUAAAGGUUCCUAGGACGGGGGUUAAGUGAGAGAUUUGAUUUGUCCUCUCUUAGUAUUUUAUUUUCUGCUUGAACUUUCUGAUAUAUCUCCUCUAUGUCUUUGA